Molecule: microRNA precursor, 279 nt
Filed under: Medicago truncatula (barrel medic)
Lineage: Eukaryota; Viridiplantae; Streptophyta; Magnoliopsida; Fabales; Fabaceae
Description: MIR2655 microRNA precursor family
Rfam family: MIR2655 microRNA precursor family
Source: Rfam by way of RNAcentral
CCCUUAACUAUUAAAAGUUUCGUUUUGGUCCUUUAACUUAUUUUUUGGUUUUGUUUUGGUCCCUUAACUCUUCCUCCGUCAACCACUUUGGUCCUUUAUGUUAGGAUGAAUGUAUUAGAGUUAAAGGACCAAAAUGAAACCAAAAAAUAAGUUAAGGGACCAAAACGAAACCAAAAAAUAAGUUAAGGGACUAAAACGAAACUUUUAAUAGUUAAGGGAACAAAAGAAAACCCAAAAAUAAGUUAUGGGACCGAAACGAAACUUUUAAUAGUUAAGGAA